GAAGGGCAACGAGUAAAAAUUCUACCCAAAGGCUCUUCAAAUGUCAGCUUGUACAAUCAAUGAUACGAGUCUAUAAAUCCAAUUGGAACGACAGGGUGGCGGCAAUCUGGCCGCAUUCUCUCUCAAUUCAGGUAACUGCCUUUCUGUUCCCCUGUUUAUUCAUUUCGGUUUCAUCGUUUGAUUAGGAGUCUAGUCUUACUCGAAACGUCCGGUUUUAUUGUCCCUUUCAUCAUAUUGUGGUUGUGCUUUAUUUCGUCGUUGUAGACACAUUGCUGUCUUUGUAUUUAUUUUUACCUUUAUUCAUAUCUCCUCGGAUAUGAAACAAAAUAUGAAAAACGAAUUUAGUGUUUUCUUAUCAUUGUAACUAUUCAAUUCCAUGCAAUUGCUCACGUUACUGUGUUUCUAUUCCACCUAAACGAUGUUUUGAUUUUUUACCACAAAGAACCGAGAACCGACGUCGUCAUAUAACUUGGAGUAAAUCAGAAAGGCCUCAGACAUGGUGCCUUUGAUAAAAUGGAUGCUGUCGACCGCGUCACUCUUUGCGACUGUUGUCCAGCCUCUAGACCUGUAUUCCCCAUCGGUCUCGGAGCUUCAGAUCCCAGUCGGUGUCCGAGCAGGACCAGGACAUUCAUCUGUGUGUGGAACUGUUGGGCCAAGACUACCUGCCACCGGCACUCCUGAUGCAUCGUCCGGCGCUCACAAGCUGUCAAAUACUUCUGUGAUUUCGAAUAGUUCUUUUACUGUCUGUGCCUUCGUCAAAGUCGACAGAAGCUUUACACAGUCUAGUCUCUUAACCAUCACUGAGAAAUUCCGGAAAGUUGUUAUCGAUGUUAUACAAAUGGGCGUGAUCCUCCGGGCGGUGAACUCCUCGGGAGGCAACACGACACGCGAGUAUUUCUUCGAAGUGAAGUUUCCUCCCGAGCAAUGGCGCCAUCUGUGCUUGCAAUACGACGGUGCUUCAGGGAAGAGUCGCUGCUUCGCGGACGACGAAGAAAUACCUCUGUCGAGCAUGCGAGCCCCCGGCGUGGGGGAGGGACAUAACCCUCCUGACGAAGGAUCCGCAGUAGCAGACGUCAAGACCGCCCCUCAUCCUAAUAGCUGUACGCCGCACCACGCAUUAGAGGCUAACAGUUGCCAAGACACACGGGAGAAAGUUGACCCGCUAACUGUAAGGUUGUGUGUGGGUGGAUUUGGACGUGUUGCAUUAAGAGCUACGGUAAGUCGGCUGCGCUGGUGGAGCCGAAUUAUUCCAGAUGUUGGGAGAGCGUUCGAGUGUGGAGGGCGUGUGCAAGAGUUCCCUGGUCCGGUAAUGAGUAAGGACUGGGUUGUAACAGGCGAUGCUUCCUUUCAGUCCUCUUCAUUACAUGAAGUGUGUUCAUCAUACCCCCGCUACGUCCUCAUCCAGCCAGCCGGUACAUACAGCCACUCUCAGUCGCUCUGCCAUGCUAUGGCUGGGGCACUGGUGUCAACAGACGACUUGUUGGCAAUGAACGUUACCUCGUUGCAAUUCAACAACAUUUGUUCGGACUCAGAGGAGCCUUUGACCUGGCUCGAUGAAAAAAAUGGGACGAUACUGGAGAUCACGCCCGGCGAUGAGUGCCCCGCUUGGGAUUCGAGCGGAGAAAAGUUGGUAGCAUGUGUCCGACGUUUGGAAUGUUCUAUUUGCAAACUAUCACCUACAGUCAUGUAUACUCUGUACGGUCACACAGGGCGAUUUUUCGAUUACACAUAUUUCAUAGACUCUAACUCAUCCAUUCCUGUGUUCCAAAGUAAAGGAAGCUCUCGAAUCGAGCGUGAGGACACUGUGUGGGUGCUGAGUUCAAGCCUGCACCGUGUUGCGUGGAGGCUGGAGGACGCGGCGGUCCCGAUCGGCCGGCGAAUGUGGAGGGCAGAGGGCCAGGAGGUCGUGCUCACUCUGACCAAGUGCCUCACCACCCAGUUCACCUGCGACGAUGGCCAGUGCAUUUCCCAGACGUUACGCUGUGAUGAUAUUUUGCAUUGUCAAGACAUGUCUGACGAGUUUAAUUGCCAUGUAGUAGAAAAACCAUCUCGCUACGACGUCUCUACUCCCCCGCCUCUCCGGCCUGGGGAGAACGGCACAGUAUCCCUAGCAUAUCAUAUUGAUGUCUAUCACCUGAGUGACAUCACAGCCAUCAAUGCGACGGCUUCCAUGGAUGUGGGUAUCACCCUGACCUGGUACGAUCCGAGACUGAAAUUUCGCAAUCUAAAACCCGACAUAAAAAACUAUUUCCCGUGUGAGUUGGUGUGGACGCCGGCUGUACAGGCAGUGUCUGGCCACGGCGAUGGAACCGUUUUGGACACCAAUGAUUACGAAAAGUUCUGCUAUGCCUACAAUAACGAUGCUACAGAGAGGCGGCCCCUCGGUGAUCCGUAUAUGGGCCAUGAGGCAGACGGGGUGAACACUGCCGUAGAGGUGUACCUGGGCGUGUUGGCCACAGUGCCCUGCCAGUUUCAGUUGCAGCUGUAUCCUUUCGAUACUCAGCUGUGCAAUUUGUCCUUCGUUCUGACUAACUCCCCGUGGUCCAGAGUGUUCGACAAAGCUCUUCCUGGAAAUCACGUCCCUUACCUCAAUGCUCGUCGUUCACUUCUGGAGUAUGUGCUGGAGGACCAGACGACGGCGGUCGGUUGGCUCAUGCAGGCAGCCGACAACAACACCUACUUCGUUCUCUCAUACCACCUGCGACGACUUUACGGAUACCACAUCAUGAACAGUUAUUUUCCCACUCUUCUAAUGUUCGUAAUUUCCUACGCCACCUUCUACUUCCAGGUAUGUGCUUCUGUCUAACACCCCUUCCUAUAUCGCUUACAGAUGCAUGUUCUCUGAUCUUUGGCAAUUUUGAAAGCUCGACGACUUCACAAACCGAAUCAUGAUUUCCCUGACGGCGCAACUGGUCCUAGCGGCGCUCUUCAGCUCCACCACCCGCUCCUCCGUCAAGACACCCUACCUCAAGCUC
This 2975-nucleotide unclassified non-coding RNA is filed under the name Penaeus japonicus. RNAcentral's name for it is "uncharacterized LOC122265619, transcript variant X2". Lineage: Eukaryota; Metazoa; Arthropoda; Malacostraca; Decapoda; Penaeidae. The record is from RNAcentral.